AAGGGGUGGGGGGGCAUAGGAGGAUGUAGAGAGUGAGGACGAAUGGACGGAGGGAUGGACGCACGGAUGGACGGAUGGACGCAAAAAAAGGAAAAAGGAAAAACAAAAUGGAGAAAGAAAAAAAACGGUAAGAAAACCACAACUCAAGAUGCACAACCACACAGAGAAAACGCAUGCAGGAGCGACACAAAAAAAUCUGGAAGGUGGCGGGGAGGAUGUUGAACUGUAAGCCCGAAAGCCAGAACUCUCACUCCCCCGGUAUCUCCUAGGUCUCUGGAAUGUUAUGUCCGGGAGCAAGCAUGGGUCCAGGAGGCAGGGAGGCCCAUGUCUCUCUGUCCACUUAGCUUUCUGGGCUGACAGUCUAGAAGACGCAUGCAGGAAUCAAGGUCUCAGACAGGUUUUCUCCCAGCAUCCCGAGAAGCAGCAGACAAACGCCACGGACCUCCCCACCUCCCCACCCUGCC
RNAcentral lists this long non-coding RNA (464 nucleotides) under Homo sapiens (human). RNAcentral's name for it is "HSALNT0255136". The record is from RNAcentral. Lineage: Eukaryota; Metazoa; Chordata; Mammalia; Primates; Hominidae.